Gossypium raimondii (Peruvian cotton) is the source of this 105-nucleotide non-coding RNA. The record is from Rfam. NCBI's taxonomy places the organism in Eukaryota, Viridiplantae, Streptophyta, Magnoliopsida, Malvales, Malvaceae.
UGUUAAAAAUUUCAUCUAUUUGUCUUGUUAAAAACUAUCAUGGCUGAUGGAAUAACCAGAUAAGGACGUAAUUUUUAACUAUAGAAAUAAAUGAAAUCUUUAUCA